GUGGGGAAUUUUGGACAAUGGGGGCAACCCUGAUCCAGCAAUGCCGCGUGAGUGAAGAAGGCCUUCGGGUUGUAAAGCUCUUUUGUCUGGGAAGAAAUCCCCUGGGAUAAUACCUCGGGGGGAUGACGGUACCGGAAGAAUAAGCACCGGCUAACUACGUGCCAGCAGCCGCGGUAAUACGUAGGGUGCAAGCGUUAAUCGGAAUUACUGGGCGUAAAGCGUGCGCAGGCGGUUGUGCAAGACAGAUGUGAAAUCCCCGGGCUUAACCUGGGAACUGCAUUUGUGACUGCACGGCUAGAGUGUGUCAGAGGGGGGUAGAAUUCCACGUGUAGCAGUGAAAUGCGUAGAGAUGUGGAGGAAUACCGAUGGCGAAGGCAGCCCCCUGGGAUAACACUGACGCUCAUGCACGAAAGCGUGGGGAGCAAACAGGAUUAGAUACCCUAGUAGUCC
Molecule: ribosomal RNA, 450 nt
Filed under: uncultured bacterium
Lineage: Bacteria
Description: bacterial SSU rRNA
Rfam family: Bacterial small subunit ribosomal RNA
Source: RNAcentral